RNAcentral lists this ribosomal RNA (460 nucleotides) under uncultured bacterium. RNAcentral describes it as "partial 16S ribosomal RNA". It matches the Rfam family "Bacterial small subunit ribosomal RNA", at positions 338 to 795 of the family's 1533-position model. The record is from RNAcentral.
CCUACGGGAGGCUUCAGUGAGGAAUAUUGGUCAAUGGACGCAAGUCUGAACCAGCCAUGCCGCGUGCAGGAUGACGGCUCUAUGAGUUGUAAACUGCUUUUGUACGAGGGUUAACCCCGAUACGUGUAUCGGGUUGAAAGUAUCGUACGAAUAAGGAUCGGCUAACUCCGUGCCAGCAGCCGCGGUAAUACGGAGGAUCCGAGCGUUAUCCGGAUUUAUUGGGGUUAAGGGGUGCGUAGGCGGUUUGAUAAGUCAGAGGUGAAAUCUCAGGGCUCAACCCCGGAACUGCAUUUAAUACUGUUGGACUAGAGAAUGGUUGCGGUAGGCGGAAUUUAUGGUGUAGCGGUGAAAUGCGUAGAGAUCAUACAGAAUACCGAUUGCGAAGGCGACUUACCAAACCAUAUCUGACGUUGAGGCACGAAAGCGUGGGUAGCAAACAGGAUUAGAUACCCUUGUAGUC